RNAcentral lists this ribosomal RNA (314 nucleotides) under uncultured Mycosphaerellaceae. Its description in RNAcentral is "partial large subunit ribosomal RNA". It matches the Rfam family "Eukaryotic large subunit ribosomal RNA", at positions 40 to 350 of the family's 3401-position model. The record is from RNAcentral. Lineage: Eukaryota; Fungi; Ascomycota; Dothideomycetes; Mycosphaerellales; Mycosphaerellaceae.
GUAUCAAUAAGCGGAGGAAAAGAAACCAACAGGGAUUGCCUCAGUAACGGCGAGUGAGGCGGCAACAGCUCAAAUUUGAAAUCUGGCUCCUUCGGGGGUCCGAGUUGUAAUUUGUAGAGGAUGCUUUUGGGUUGCCACCGGUCUAAGUUCCUUGGAACAGGACGUCAUAGAGGGUGAGAAUCCCGUAUGUGACCGGACAGGCGCCCUCCGUAAAGCUCCUUCGACGAGUCGGGUUGUUUGGGAAUGCAGCCCUAAAUGGGAGGUAAAUUUCUUCUAAAGCUAAAUACCGGCCAGAGACCGAUAGCGCACAAGUA